RNAcentral lists this ribosomal RNA (429 nucleotides) under Chloroflexota bacterium. RNAcentral's name for it is "Chloroflexi bacterium partial 16S ribosomal RNA". It matches the Rfam family "Bacterial small subunit ribosomal RNA", at positions 355 to 776 of the family's 1533-position model. Lineage: Bacteria; Bacillati; Chloroflexota. The record is from RNAcentral.
UGGGGAAUAUUGCACAAUGGGCGCAAGCCUGAUGCAGCCAUGCCGCGUGUAUGAAGAAGGCCUUCGGGUUGUAAAGUACUUUCAGCGGGGAGGAAGGGAGUAAAGGUAAUACCUGUGCUCAUUGACGUAACCCGCAGAAGAAGCACCGGCUAACUCCGUGCCAGCAGCCGCGGUAAUACGGAGGGUGCAAGCGUUAAUCGGAAUUACUGGGCGUAAAGCGCACGCAGGCGGUUUGUUAAGUCAGAUGUGAAAUCCUCGGGCUCAACCUGGGAACUGCAUCUGAUACUGGCAAGCUUGAGUCUCGUAGAGGGGGGUAGAAUUCCAGGUGUAGCGGUGAAAUGCGUAGAGAUCUGGAGGAAUACCGGUGGCGAAGGCGGCCCCCUGGACGAAGACUGACGCUCAGGUGCGAAAGCGUGGGGAGCAAACAGG